UCCUGACUGACCGAUAGUGAACCAGUACCGUGAGGGAAAGGCGAAAAGAACCCCGGCGAGGGGAGUGAAAAAGAACCUGAAACCGUGUACGUACAAGCAGUGGGAGCCUCUUUUAUGGGGUGACUGCGUACCUUUUGUAUAAUGGGUCAGCGACUUAUAUUCUGUAGCAAGGUUAACCGAAUAGGGGAGCCGAAGGGAAACCGAGUCUUAACUGGGCGUUAAGUUGCAGGGUAUAGACCCGAAACCCGGUGAUCUAGCCAUGGGCAGGUUGAAGGUUGGGUAACACUAACUGGAGGACCGAACCGACUAAUGUUGAAAAAUUAGCGGAUGACUUGUGGCUGGGGGUGAAAGGCCAAUCAAACCGGGAGAUAGCUGGUUCUCCCCGAAAGCUAUUUAGGUAGCGCCUCGUGAAUUCAUCUCCGGGGGUAGAGCACUGUUUCGGCAAGGGGGUCAUCCCGACUUACCAACCCGAUGCAAACUGCGAAUACCGGAGAAUGUUAUCACGGGAGACACACGGCGGGUGCUAACGUCCGUCGUGAAGAGGGAAACAACCCAGACCGCCAGCUAAGGUCCCAAAGUCAUGGUUAAGUGGGAAACGAUGUGGGAAGGCCCAGACAGCCAGGAUGUUGGCUUAGAAGCAGCCAUCAUUUAAAGAAAGCGUAAUAGCUCACUGGUCGAGUCGGCCUGCGCGGAAGAUGUAACGGGGCUAAACCAUGCACCGAAGCUGCGGCAGCGACGCUUAUGCGUUGUUGGGUAGGGGAGCGUUCUGUAAGCCUGUGAAGGUGUGCUGUGAGGCAUGCUGGAGGUAUCAGAAGUGCGAAUGCUGACAUAAGUAACGAUAAAGCGGGUGAAAAGCCCGCUCGCCGGAAGACCAAGGGUUCCUGUCCAACGUUAAUCGGGGCAGGGUGAGUCGACCCCUAAGGCGAGGCCGAAAGGCGUAGUCGAUGGGAAACAGGUUAAUAUUCCUGUACUUGGUGUUACUGCGAAGGGGGGACGGAGAAGGCUAUGUUGGCCGGGCGACGGUUGUCCCGGUUUAAGCGUGUAGGCUGGUUUUCCAGGCAAAUCCGGAAAAUCAAGGCUGAGGCGUGAUGACGAGGCACUACGGUGCUGAAGCAACAAAUGCCCUGCUUCCAGGAAAAGCCUCUAAGCAUCAGGUAACAUCAAAUCGUACCCCAAACCGACACAGGUGGUCAGGUAGAGAAUACCAAGGCGCUUGAGAGAACUCGGGUGAAGGAACUAGGCAAAAUGGUGCCGUAACUUCGGGAGAAGGCACGCUGAUAUGUAGGUGAAGCGACUUGCUCGUGGAGCUGAAAUCAGUCGAAGAUACCAGCUGGCUGCAACUGUUUAUUAAAAACACAGCACUGUGCAAACACGAAAGUGGACGUAUACGGUGUGACGCCUGCCCGGUGC
This 1410-nucleotide ribosomal RNA is filed under the name Escherichia coli. RNAcentral describes it as "partial 23S ribosomal RNA". It matches the Rfam family "Bacterial large subunit ribosomal RNA", at positions 474 to 1869 of the family's 2925-position model. The record is from RNAcentral. Lineage: Bacteria; Pseudomonadati; Pseudomonadota; Gammaproteobacteria; Enterobacterales; Enterobacteriaceae.